GAGGGUAUAGCUCAGUGGUAGAGUGCAUGCCUAGCAUGCACGAGGUCAUGGGUUCGAUCCCCAGUACAUCUG
Molecule: transfer RNA, 72 nt
Organism: Camelus ferus (Wild Bactrian camel)
Lineage: Eukaryota; Metazoa; Chordata; Mammalia; Artiodactyla; Camelidae
Rfam family: tRNA
About the family: Transfer RNA (tRNA) molecules are approximately 80 nucleotides in length. Their secondary structure includes four short double-helical elements and three loops (D, anti-codon, and T loops).
Source: Rfam